CAAGACGUAGCUUAAUUAAUUAAAGCACCUGGCUUACACCCAGAAGAUUUCU
RNAcentral lists this transfer RNA (52 nucleotides) under Sundasciurus lowii (Low's squirrel). RNAcentral's name for it is "partial tRNA-Val". The record is from RNAcentral. Lineage: Eukaryota; Metazoa; Chordata; Mammalia; Rodentia; Sciuridae.